This 240-nucleotide unclassified non-coding RNA is filed under the name soil metagenome. RNAcentral's name for it is "partial contains 5.8S ribosomal RNA, internal transcribed spacer 2, and large subunit ribosomal RNA". The record is from RNAcentral.
AACGGUCUAUACCUGCGGUACCUGCGGAAGGAUCAUUACAGAGUUGCAAAACUCCAAACCAUUGUGAACUUACCUUUGCCGUUGCUUCGGCGGGCGGCCCGGGUCCCGACCCGGCGCCCCCCGGCCCCGUCAGGGGCGCCCGCCGGAGGUAAACCAAACUCUUGAAUUGUAUGGCCUCUCUGAGUCUUCUGUACUGAAUAAGUCAAAACUUUUAACAAUGGAUCUCUAGAUCGGAAGAGC